This 427-nucleotide ribosomal RNA is filed under the name Entamoeba histolytica. RNAcentral's name for it is "bacterial SSU rRNA". It matches the Rfam family "Eukaryotic small subunit ribosomal RNA", at positions 1049 to 1456 of the family's 1831-position model. Lineage: Eukaryota; Evosea; Mastigamoebida; Endamoebidae. The record is from RNAcentral.
GGUUCUAGAUCUGAGUAUAUCAAUAUUACCUUGUUCAGAACUUAAAGAGAAAUCUUGAGUUUAUGGACUUCAGGGGGAGUAUGGUCACAAGGCUGAAACUUAAAGGAAUUGACGGAAGGGCACACCAGGAGUGGAGCCUGCGGCUUAAUUUGACUCAACACGGGAAAACUUACCAAGACCGAACAGUAGAAGGAAUGACAGAUUAAGAGUUCUUUCAUGAUUUAUUGGGUAGUGGUGCAUGGCCGUUCUUAGUUGGUGGAGUGAUUUGUCAGGUUAAUUCCGGUAACGAACGAGACUGAAACCUAUUAAUUAGUUUUCUGCCUAUAAGACAGAAAUGUUCGCAAGAACAGGUGCGUAAGUACCACUUCUUAAAGGGACACACUUCAAUUGUCCUAUUUUAAUUGUAGUUAUCUAAUUUCGGUUAGAC